GAAACGACUCUCGGCAACGGAUAUCUAGGCUCUCGCAUCGAUGAAGAACGUAGCAAAAUGCGAUACUUGGUGUGAAUUGCAGAAUCCCGUGAAUCAUCGAGUCUUUGAACGCAAGUUGCGCCUGAAGCCAUUAGGUCGAGGGCAUGCCUGCCUGGGCGUCACCC
Molecule: ribosomal RNA, 164 nt
Filed under: Ampelopsis delavayana var. glabra
Lineage: Eukaryota; Viridiplantae; Streptophyta; Magnoliopsida; Vitales; Vitaceae
Description: 5.8S ribosomal RNA
Rfam family: 5.8S ribosomal RNA
About the family: 5.8S ribosomal RNA (5.8S rRNA) is a component of the large subunit of the eukaryotic ribosome. It is transcribed by RNA polymerase I as part of the 45S precursor that also contains 18S and 28S rRNA.
Source: RNAcentral